RNAcentral lists this ribosomal RNA (468 nucleotides) under uncultured bacterium. RNAcentral describes it as "partial 16S ribosomal RNA". It matches the Rfam family "Bacterial small subunit ribosomal RNA", at positions 28 to 507 of the family's 1533-position model. The record is from RNAcentral.
GACGAACGCUGGCGGCGUGCUUAACACAUGCAAGUCGAACGGAAAGGCCCUGCUGUUGUGGGGUGCUCGAGUGGCGAACGGGUGAGUAACACGUGAGUAACCUGCCCUUGACUUUGGGAUAACUUCAUGAAACUGGGGCUAAUACCGGAUAGGAGCUCCUGCUGCAUGGUGUGGGUUGGAAAGUUUCGGCGGUUGUGGAUGGACUCGCGGCUUAUCAGCUUGUUGGUGGGGUAGUGGCUUACCAAGGCUUUGACGCGUAGCCGGCCUGAGAGGGUGACCGGCCACAUUGGGACUGAGAUACGGCCCAGACUCCUACGGGCGGCAGCAGUGGGGCAUAUUGCACAAUGGGCGGAAGCCUGAUGGAGGAGCGCCGCGUGCGGGAUGACGGCCUUCGGGUUGUAGACCGCUUUCGCCUGUGACGAAGCGUGUGUGGAGGUAAUGGGUAAAGAAGCACCGCCUCACUACGUG